This 679-nucleotide ribosomal RNA is filed under the name uncultured archaeon. Its description in RNAcentral is "bacterial SSU rRNA". It matches the Rfam family "Archaeal small subunit ribosomal RNA", at positions 197 to 879 of the family's 1478-position model. The record is from RNAcentral.
AUGUGCCAGAGGAUGGGGCUGCGGCCGAUCAGGCCGUUGGCGAGGUAACGGCUCACCAAACCUUUGACCGGUACGGGCCAUGAGAGUGGUAGCCCGGAGAUGGACACUGAGAUAGGGGUCCAGGCCCUACGGGCGCAGCAGGCGCGAAAACUCCACACUGUACGUAAGUACGAUGGGGUUACCUCGAGUGUAGUCUGUAAAAGAUUGCUUUUCCAUUGAGUAAUAUCCUGUGGGAAUAAGAGGGGGGCAAGACUGGUGUCAGCCGCCGCGGUAACACCAGCCCCUCGAGUGGUAGGGACUUUUAUUUGGCCUAAAGCGUUCGUAGCCGUCUGUAACCGUUGCCCGUUAAAUCCAGCGUCUCAAGCGUUGGACUGCGGGCGAUACCUUACAGAUUGAGGGUGGGAUAGGUAAGCGGUAUUUCUGGGGUAGGGGCGAAAUCCUUUGAUCCCAGGAGGACCACCAGUGGCGAAGGCUGCUUACUAGAACACGCCUGACGGUCAGGAACGAAAGCUGGGGUAGCGAACCGGAUUAGAUACCCGGGUAGUCCCAGCUGUAAACGAUGCGCGCUAGGUGUUGGGUCGGCCAUGCGCCGCCCCAGUGCCGCAGGGAAGCCGUUAAGCGCGCCGCCUGGGGAGUACGGCCGCAAGGCUGAAACUUAAAGGAAUUGGCGGGGGAGCAC